Molecule: small nucleolar RNA, 148 nt
Filed under: Accipiter nisus (Eurasian sparrowhawk)
Lineage: Eukaryota; Metazoa; Chordata; Aves; Accipitriformes; Accipitridae
Description: Small nucleolar RNA SNORA70 (ENSANIG00000003135.1)
Rfam family: Small nucleolar RNA SNORA70
About the family: snoRNA U70 seems to be exclusive to mammals and is a member of the H/ACA class of snoRNA which contain H (ANANNA) and ACA box motifs. H/ACA box snoRNAs are involved in the conversion of uridines to pseudouridines (5-ribosyluracil) a constituent of structural RNAs (transfer, ribosomal, small nuclear, and small nucleolar).
Source: Rfam by way of RNAcentral
CCGCAGCCAAUUAAGCCGGCCGUGGCCCCCCCCCCAACCCGUGGGGCCCCGGCGUGCACUGGCUGCGCACAGCAACCGCCCCCCCCGGCUGUGUAGGGCGCCCCGCUCGCUCCCCCGCGGGGCGCCCCAAGGGGCCGGGGGCACAACC